Molecule: unclassified non-coding RNA, 279 nt
Filed under: plant metagenome
Description: partial contains small subunit ribosomal RNA, internal transcribed spacer 1, and 5.8S ribosomal RNA
Source: RNAcentral
UCUCCGUUGGUGAACCAGCGGAGGGAUCAUUACAGAGUUUUCACACCUCCCAACCCUUCCGAACCUUCCCCAUUCUGUUCUCGUUCCUUCCUGCGGCGGGGACGGCGUGGCCCGAAACGGGCUUGACCACCCGCCGGCCGGCGGCGGCCCGCCCUACGAACCUUUAUCUUUCAAACACCCGAUACCCUCUGAAAAAACAAACAAAAUAAACAAAACUUUCAACAACCGAUCUCUAAGCCAUUGCAUCGAUGAAUAACCCAGCAGAAAGGAAUACCAAAC